CCCAACACUUAAACAAAGCAAAACCUCCAUUUCAUUAAUUUCCCCCAAUCCUCUUGAACGACAGAAAAUCCUUGGAGGUGAAUCUGAAGUUCAAAAAUAGCUUCCAUCGCCGCCCGGAACUUCUCCUUUUAAACGCCACCUUUGGAUCCAAUAAAGUCAUCGCCACCCAAACACCACCACCACUGCACAAUCCCCACCCACGAACUGAAAAACACAUCCAAAAACCCUCAUUAGAUUGUGGAGCUGCAAAUCGACCACAAUAUGUGACAAGGCGUAAUCGACAAUGAGCAUCGCUAUGGGCAGCUUAUAAUGCUUGGGCUGGACUAUCUUUCCACUAAGAAGGGAUGCCCGUUGGGAAGGUUAUAAAUAUCUACACGAAUGCAGAGAGAAGAUGGGGGGCUAAUUUGGGGAAAAGACAUACUUGCAAAGUUGCUGGAGAUAAAAGAUGAGCUGUUAGGAAUUAAAAAGAAGGGAAGCAAACAUAUAUAUGGGAGAUUUGCGACUGUUGAAAAUGAGAAAACAUAGGGUUGCUACUGGGAUAAUUAAAAAGCAGUAGAGAAGAGAUGGAAAAUUUUCAAAUUCUUGUAAAUAAAUUUAUCAAUUAUUGUGCAAAAAUUGGGAAAUUAAUCAUGUUUCGUCAAAAUUUGUGUUCUUCACUUUUGUAUAUGGGAAGACACUGUAAUUUUCAUCUACUACUAUCAAUGUGACUUUAGUAUUUGUCCUUCAUUUGUUGGUGUUAAAUU
This 743-nucleotide long non-coding RNA is filed under the name Olea europaea subsp. europaea. The record is from RNAcentral. Lineage: Eukaryota; Viridiplantae; Streptophyta; Magnoliopsida; Lamiales; Oleaceae.